GUCCACGCUGUAAACGAUGGGUGCUAGGUGGUGGGGGUAUCCGACCCCCCGUGCCGAAGCUAACGCAUUAAGCACCCCGCCUGGGGAGUACGGCCGCAAGGUUGAAACUCAAAGGAAUUGACGGGGCCCGCACAAGCGGUGGAGCAUGUGGUUUAAUUCGACGCAACGCGAAGAACCUUACCUGGGCUUGACAUGUCGGUAGUACCGAACCGAAAGGGGAGGACUCGUAAAGCCGAGAGCCGACACAGGUGGUGCAUGGCUGUCGU
RNAcentral lists this ribosomal RNA (266 nucleotides) under uncultured bacterium. Its description in RNAcentral is "partial 16S ribosomal RNA". It matches the Rfam family "Bacterial small subunit ribosomal RNA", at positions 793 to 1055 of the family's 1533-position model. The record is from RNAcentral.